GACGAACGCUGGCGGCGUGCUUAACACAUGCAAGUCGAGCGGUAAGGCCCUUUCGGGGGUACACGAGCGGCGAACGGGUGAGUAACACGUGGGUGACCUGCCCUUAGCUCUGGGAUAAGCCUGGGAAACUGGGUCUAAUACCGGAUAUGACUCCAUGACGCAUGUUGUGGGGUGGAAAGCCUUGUGCGGCUAGGGAUGGGCCCGCGGCCUAUCAGCUCGUUGGUGGGGUGAUGGCCUACCAAGGCGACGACGGGUAGCCGGCCUGAGAGGGCGACCGGCCACACUGGGACUGAGACACGGCCCAGACUCCUACGGGAGGCAGCAGUGGGGAAUCUUGCGCAAUGGGCGAAAGCCUGACGCAGCGACGCCGCGUGAGGGAUGACGGCCU
Molecule: ribosomal RNA, 388 nt
Filed under: uncultured bacterium
Lineage: Bacteria
Description: bacterial SSU rRNA
Rfam family: Bacterial small subunit ribosomal RNA
Source: RNAcentral